UUUGACCGGGAGCGAUUAGGAUUGUGUCGGUGGUGAAGGGUUUGACGUAGACGGCGUCGACUUCCACAAUGGUGAAGCGGUGGCCAGCGAUCUUGAAGAAGAGCUCUUCGUUCAUUGCUGCGUUUACUAGUCGUAGCAUGUAUGUUUUCCCGCUCUCUACCGCUAAUUUAAAAUUACCUAAACCCAAAAAAAUAUAUCAAAUUAUUAGAAAAAUCAAUAUAAAUAAAUAAAAUUCUUUAUUAAUUUAACUUGUUAUAAAUAUUUUUUUUGUUGAAACUACAAAGAAAUAAAUUAAGGAUGUUUCAUUUGAUGUAAGGAUCCAUAAAUUCAAAUUGUUGGAAACAUUACAGGACAAACUACCUUGCGAUGGGCAGUUUGGGACGAGACCGGGAUGACCGUUAAUGACAUGAGCAUCUGAGACAUUAGGUGCUAAACCGGAUUUUAAUGCUUCAUUAAUAACAUUUUCGGUAUCGGAUUUCCACCACUCACCUAUAGAAGAAUAAACAUGGAGUUCCAAAUUAUUGAUCUAAUAAUAAUUAAAGCAAUCCAUGAGUAUCUCUCUUUAGAUUAAUACCUAGUACGAUGACUUCUUCUCUGUGUGGUUUAGGGAACGGGUAAGGUAGACCCGGUUUUGGCAGAAUCACGAUGGCACCAUGAACCGUAGCUCGGAGCCAGAGAACAUGUGCG
This 687-nucleotide long non-coding RNA is filed under the name Brassica rapa (field mustard). Its description in RNAcentral is "long non-coding RNA (BRAP_LNC000789)". Lineage: Eukaryota; Viridiplantae; Streptophyta; Magnoliopsida; Brassicales; Brassicaceae. The record is from RNAcentral.